Molecule: long non-coding RNA, 3464 nt
Filed under: Stegodyphus dumicola
Lineage: Eukaryota; Metazoa; Arthropoda; Arachnida; Araneae; Eresidae
Description: uncharacterized LOC118191674
Source: RNAcentral
UGACUUCUGACUGAGUUUUUCCAAAACUUCAGAAGGCUGUGCCUUGAUUUCUGCAAACUGCAAAGUGGAUGCGGCAUAUGUCUAUACAGCACCUGGCCUAGCUUAGCAAGCUGCCUUAAGCAUGUCCGGUAUCAAACUGGAGUUAUUUCCCGAUCCAGAUAUGUGUUUGCAUUAUUUGGAAAGGGCAUUUGGGCAGGCAUCGGUAUGAUCUCACACUGAUUCAGCCAAGCCAAUAAUAAAUAUAUGAAGAAUUAUGACCCAAAAAUGCAUUCAUCUUAAAUCAUGUAUUUGGAUGUCCAUAACUUGCAUGGGUGGAUCAUGAACUACACUUUACCAACUCAUGAUUUUCAGUGGCAUGACGGACAUUUCAGCUUCAUGGAGAUUGCUGACGAUGCGGAAAAAAGGAUGUAUUCUAGAAGCUGAUCUUGACUACUAUGCAAGCGAAUUUUACGAUAAUCAUUUCGACUAUCCUCUUGCUCGUAAACAAUUUGUCGUGAUUCCUGAUAUGUCCAUACAGCAUCUGGCUUGCAACAUUCAUUGGCUUUAAUACUAAGUAGCGUCAAUUAGUCAAAUCCUCGUUCCGAAAGGGCUUAUUUAAACAAUUAAACAACUCGGUUUUUGGGAAAACAGUGGAAAAUCUCUGUAAACGUACCUGCACUGAUCUGGAUUAACGAAAGCAACGAAAGAGCCAAGAAGUUGGUCGCUGUUCCAAUAUUUCACUCAUUCAAGAUCAUUAAGGAUGAUCUGGCAGUCACCGAUCGACGAGAAACCUUUUGAUUCUCAACCAACUUAUCUAAGUAGGCUUCCAUAUUUUGGAUUUAUCGAAAACACAGAUUUAUGAAUUCAAUUACGGAUAUAUCAAGAAACACUGCAGAUCCAAGGCGCAUUUGCUAUUCACAGACAUAGACAGUCUUUGUUAUGAAACAGAAAUUGCCGAUGUUUGCAAAGAUAUGGCCUACAAUCUGAGCUUAUUCGACACCUCAGACUACCCGGAAAAUUAUGCUUUCUACUGCCUUACAAAUGAAAAGGUAAUUGUUAAAAUGAAAGACAAAGUGUGUGGACAAAUUACCCAAGAAUUUGCCGGGCUCAAACAAAAAGUAUACUGCACUGAGAAGAAAACUGCUAAGGGUGUAGCGAAAACAAUUCUUAAAAGACAGAUUCGUCACCUGGGCUAUAUUAACUGUCUUAUUUAACAACAACGUGGUCUUGCCCAUGCUCAAUGUAUUGCCAGUCUCAUCAGAUAAAGACUGUAGCUUAUACGAGAGCUGCUUAGUGCCCUUUCGAUAUGAAACGGUAUCUUUUAUAAGGUGGGACAUUGUUCUACGAUUAUGGACAUUAUGCCAUAUAAUUUUUAGUGUAAAUAGUUUUAUCUCUGUACAAUCAUAUUUUUAAAUUUUUAAUUAUUUUGUGCUGUGAAUUUAGUAUGUUUGAAAUGUCUUUACCCUUAAAAAUAUUUAUUUAAAUAACUUUUAAAAUAAAAAUAUUUUACGCAUAAAUGUAUAAUUUAGUAUGUUCAUGUUUCGAAUUUCGAACAAAUAAAUAAUGUUACUUGAAAAAAACUAACUCUUAAAUAAAAGCGAGUUUUUUAAUAUUUUCAAUUACGGCAAGUAAAGUUUUUUCAAAAAAUGAGAAGUUAGAAUGAAGCAUUUUAAAAGUCUGGUAGAGCAAUUAUAAGUAGAAUAGAUUUUUCAAAUAAGACUUAGUUGACAUGGAACACUUAAAACUAAAGCAUGCUUUCACAAUAUUAGCUGUCGGCCCUAAUGGUAGCGGAAAGAGUGUAUUUAUUAAAAUAUUAAUUGAGCAUCACAUGAUUACUCCGUUUCCUCCCAAAACUAUUUGGUGCUAAAUCUUUACAAUGAGAUGAAGCAUAUUGAAUUAGGUGACGGUUUGCUUGAAAAUAUUCACACUUUAUCAAUUUCUCUGAUUAUUGUUGAUGAUUUUAUCUUAGAACUCGGCAAUGAUGUAAGAGUGACCAAGUUAUUUACCAAAGGAUCUCAUCAUCGAAAUCUAUUUUCGUUGUUGUUAUUUCGGUUGUAAAACAUGCACUUCAUAAAGGUAUUUGGGUUUGAACAUUAAUUAUUUAGUGCUCUUUAAAAAUACAAGAAACAAAUCUUAGAUCCUGAAUCUAGGAAGGCAGUUAUAUCUAGGAGAGAAUAAGUUUUCUCAAGAAGUGUAUCAGGAUGCUACUUCAAAAUAUGGCAGUCAUUUUCUGGUUGACCUUCCCACCUGAAAUAUCUGAUUCAUUGUGUCUGAGAACGAGAUUUUUUCCAAGCGAUAAAUACUACGUAUAUCAACCUCGCUAGUCAUUUGGUGGUGAGACGUCAAUGAAUAUGUCUGGGGUGAUAGGUGUUCAGCAUUAUUUCAGGCCAGUUUGUUAUUAAAGGAAACUUGCAGCGUUUCCCGUAUGAGACCCAAUGUUUUGCGGCAGAUUAACCUUUUAUCCCCCAUGCUCCUUUGAAAUGUCGGCAAGAGAAAACAACUCACGUUUUCACGGGUGUCUUGGAGUAUACGUCAUAUGGAUUGGACGUGUGAAGAAAUGUCAUAUUUAAUGCCCAAGUUGUUGUUUCGUUCAUCUAAAAUGAUAUUUGUGAACAAAAUAUCACACAGCACCAAUUAGAAAAACUUAAAGUCAUCUCCACAAGUAAAUUUUCAAGUUAUUCGCAAAUGCUCCAACAAUGUCAUAAAGAGUGUGCCUUAAACUUACUUCGAGAUCAUCUUUCCAUUUUCCCAAUGCGAAACGUUCAGUUAUCAGCAUACGAGGGAAGUUUAUGAAAACUUGCUAAUAAAGAAAGCAUUUCUGUGUAAGGACAGAAGACUGCUUGUGCAAAGAGGGGAGAGUUUUAUAAGUGUUCUCUUGCAUGUGGUUAUUUCUGUUAUUAGCUAUCUUAUUCAUGGAGUUUAGUAAAGAACUUCUCAUUGUACCAGAAGAAUGAUGACAAACGAUUGAAUGUCUUAUGGAUGAGAAAUGGUUAGAAUUGGAAAAAAAAGACCUUGACGAAUGUGAAAAGAAGCCUUUUAGCUGCAAGUGUCAUAGAAAUAUAUUACUUAUCAAUUACUGCCACCUCUUUAUAAAACAGAGAAAUUCUACGGAAAAGAAGGAAGACUGUUUCAUAAAGAAAGAAGAUAUUUCUGCUGAAGACGAUUUGAGAAAGAUGGUGGGAAUGUGGUUCCUUUAAAGUACAAAUACCAAACAAAACACAUUCAUCAUCAUGUGAAGAAACAUAUUUCAGCUCGAGGUGAGAUCAUUUAUCUGGAUCAAGUUGUUCCAGGGACUCAUGUUGCGACACUCAUAAAUCAGUUUUUAAGAAAUAAGAAAAAAAUCCCUUUGUUAGACAAAAUGAAUAUUAUACUCUGUUAAAAAAAUUGGGUUUACCUACUAUGUACAACGUUCAUAACAAAGUAUAAUCCAUGUACCCUCAAAGAAAUGUAUACCUUAAAUAUUAAAUAAAGCAAUGUGAACUUGA